This 387-nucleotide ribosomal RNA is filed under the name uncultured Pezizomycotina. RNAcentral's name for it is "eukaryotic LSU rRNA". It matches the Rfam family "Eukaryotic large subunit ribosomal RNA", at positions 1 to 381 of the family's 3401-position model. The record is from RNAcentral. Lineage: Eukaryota; Fungi; Ascomycota.
UUGAGCUCAGAUCAGGUAGGACUACCGCCUGAACUUAAGCAUAUCAAUAAGGCGAGGAACAGAAACCAACAGGGAUUCCCCUAGUAGUGGCGAAUGAAGCGGGAAAAGCUCAAGUUUGAAAUCUGGCGGGUGACCUCCAGAGUUGUAAGCUGAAGAGGCAUAGACCGACGCGGUCCGGGCUCAAUUUCCUUGGAACAGGAGGUCAUGGAGGGUGAGAACCCCGUCUGUGGCUUGGGUGCCGUCGUCCUUGUGUCUUGCCCUCGUAGAGUCCGGGUUGUUUGGGAAUGCAGCUCAAAAUGGGUGGUAAAUUUCCAUCUAAGGCUAAAUAUUGGCGAGAGACCGAUAGCAAACAAGUAGAGUGAUCGAAAGAUGAAAAGUACUUGAAAA